GAUGAACGCUAGCGGCAGGCCUAACACAUGCAAGUCGAGGGGUAACAGGGAUUGCUUGCAAUCCGCUGACGACCGGCGCACGGGUGCGUAACGCGUAUACAAUCUACCUUACACUGGGGGAUAGCCUUUAGAAAUGAAGAUUAAUACCCCAUGGUAUGUUAAUGUGGCAUCACAUAUACAUUAAAGGUUACGGUGUAAGAUGAGUAUGCGUCCUAUUAGUUUGUUGGUGAGGUAACGGCUCACCAAGACGACGAUAGGUAGGGGCCCUGAGAGGGGGAUCCCCCACACUGGUACUGAGACACGGACCAGACUCCUACGGGAGGCAGCAGUGAGGAAUAUUGGUCAAUGGGCGAGAGCCUGAACCAGCCAUGCCGCGUGCAGGAAGACGGCCCUAUGGGUUGUAAACUGCUUUUAUACAGGAAGAAACACUCCCUCGUGAGGGAGCUUGACGGUACUGUAAGAAUAAGGACCGGCUAACUCCGU
Molecule: ribosomal RNA, 483 nt
Filed under: uncultured Bacteroidota bacterium
Lineage: Bacteria; Pseudomonadati; Bacteroidota
Description: bacterial SSU rRNA
Rfam family: Bacterial small subunit ribosomal RNA
Source: RNAcentral